Caretta caretta (loggerhead turtle) is the source of this 1383-nucleotide non-coding RNA. The record is from RefSeq and is a predicted model, not a curated record. Lineage: Eukaryota; Metazoa; Chordata; Testudines; Cheloniidae.
CCGGGGCGGGGCACGGCCCUGGGCGGCCCGGAACCCGCAGGUUUCCCGCCCACGCCGCGGCCAGGCCUUAAAAUCCCUUCCCCGCCCCUGGCUGAGCCUCACGCCCUCGGGGGUGUCCACCCCUGCCUGAGCAGCGGGACCCGCCGCUCCCCGCGAGCAGGAAGGGGACCAGGGGCCCCGCGAGGGCGGGCGGCGGAGGAGGAGGAGGCGGAGGCGGGGCUGCGGCGCGCACGCAGGGCCUGGUCGGUGUCAUGGCCGCGUCCCGGCUGCCUCCGGCGGCGCUGACACUGAAGCAGUUCUUGAGACGGCAGCAGGUUCUUCAGUUAUACAGAAGAAUUCUCCAGGCUAUUCGUCAGGUACCUACCGAAACUGAUCGGCACUAUCUAAAGGAGUGGGCAAGGGAAGAAUUCAAAAGAAAUAAAGAUGCAACAGAUGAGGAUGCAAUUAGGAUGAUGAUUACUCAGGGCAACAUGCAGCUUCAGGAGCUUGAGAGAACACUUCAGCUGGCAAACUCCUAACCUUAAUUCUGAGAGCCAAUGGACUUUCAUCCACUGUGAGAAGUACAGUACUUUCUCCAGGAUGCAGCACCUCAUCUUAUGCAAAGAUACCGCACUACACGCUGCCUCACUAGCUGGCUGAUUCCCAAUGUUUCCUUUGAAGCCUGUGGUCUUUAUCAUAUUGCCAACAAUCAGCAUCAUGAGGAGAAAGUCAGACUCCUGGCUCAGAGAUGAUCUACUUAUGUCAAAUGAAUACUGACUAUGUAUCUGUAUUUCAACUAUGCUGCUUUGGGUGAUGCCCACUGCUAACACUUCAAGUACUACAAUGGAAAAGCCAGACAGGGCGGCUGGCCCAUCAGCGAGGACAAUGGACUGUGAAAAGGCUUGGCCUUCCUGCCAAUGCUCCAUACUGCCACUGACUCAUGGAUGCUGUGACACUACUAGGUCAGGUGGUCUUGUCACCUGAUACUAAACAUUACCUAGGACUUCUUGUAACUUUCCACUGGAAGGGAAGGGGGGGGGUCAAGUUUGGGAAACAAAUCCUAUUUAACGGGGGAGGGGGAAUAAGGCAAAGGGAGCUCCUCCUCUUCAUGGCCUGUCUGCCCAAGAAGAGAGACUGCUAAAGCAACCUGAAGGGAAGGCAAGGGGGGAGUCCAGACUGAGAUAGGUGUCCAGUCUGAAAAUAUAACUGGAACUCUGAACCACAGAAACUUUGCAACCUGCCUAAAAUAAUAUUUAGGAUAAGAAAUUACAUUUUGUAAGCUGUUUCUUAAGUAUAUUGAGCUUAGCUUGCGGAUUUUGCUUUAGUUGGUCAGUAAUCUGCUUUGUUCUGUCUAUUAUCUCUUAUAUUCACUUUUGUAGUUAAUAAAAUUUGUUUUGUUUAUUA